Molecule: long non-coding RNA, 226 nt
Filed under: Trifolium pratense (red clover)
Lineage: Eukaryota; Viridiplantae; Streptophyta; Magnoliopsida; Fabales; Fabaceae
Description: long non-coding RNA (TPRA_LNC005213)
Source: RNAcentral
ACAACUGCCGCAAUUCUAGAAGCCCUAAUUUUGUCUUGAAGCCCAAGUCGUUCUACUACUAUAAAUACGAAGGCAAGCAUAUGGUUUCAAGCAUCUAAAAUCGUGUAUUACAAAGCGUGUGUUUUUAGGGAUUUUAGAGUGUUAAUUGUGAGCCUAUCUUGUGUCUCAUUGAUGCAAGCUUAGGACCUGAGUGUUACUGAGUUGUAAGUGUGAACUUCUCCUAAGC